UUUUUUUUUAUAUUUAUAAGGCCGUUAGUUUUUUCGUUACAAUUGUUUUACAUUGUCAUUUUGGGGCCUUUUAUAGCUGUCUAUGCAGUAUGGGCUUUGCUUAUUAUUGAAGGCUAUACGGCGACCUCUAGUUGUUACUUUAUGUGUCAUUUUGGUCUCUUGUGGAGAGUUGUAUCAUUGGCAAUCGUACCACAGAAAGAACAUUGAUAAUAAAACGGAUACAUACAAAUUGAAAACAAAUCGCGUAAGAAAAAGCAAUUAUUGGUAUGUUAGUUUUCUUUAGUAUCAUGAAUAUUUUUGGCUCAACUUCUUAAUCAUGAUCAGGCAAAAUUAUUGGCUUUUUAUUCUGACAUUUUUUUUUAUUCCUCUUCCACCCCAUUUUUCGGCAUAUAACACGUCCGUUUUAUUUGGUCAUUACAUCGCGGACUCCUAACGGAUGCAAAUUUUGUAAAUGGAAAACUUUUGUUUAUCCUUUCGGCGUUCGUUCGAGCUAUCUGGUAAGGUGUGACCACAGUUUUUAGCAGAU
This 526-nucleotide long non-coding RNA is filed under the name Mytilus galloprovincialis (Mediterranean mussel). Lineage: Eukaryota; Metazoa; Mollusca; Bivalvia; Mytilida; Mytilidae. The record is from RNAcentral.